This 286-nucleotide ribosomal RNA is filed under the name uncultured bacterium. Its description in RNAcentral is "partial 16S ribosomal RNA". It matches the Rfam family "Bacterial small subunit ribosomal RNA", at positions 773 to 1060 of the family's 1533-position model. The record is from RNAcentral.
GUGGAUUAGAUACCCUGGUAGUCCACGCUGUAAACGAUGAUUACUAGGUGUAGGGGGUAACACCCCCCCUGUGCCGCAGCUAACGCAAUAAGUAAUCCGCCUGGGGAGUACGGUCGCAAGAUUGAAACUCAAAGGAAUUGACGGGGGCCCGCACAAGCAGCGGAGCAUGUGGUUUAAUUCGAAGCAACGCGAAGAACCUUACCAAGGCUUGACAUCCUCUGAUCGCCGUGGAAACACGGAAUCCCUUCGGGGCAGAGAGACAGGUGGUGCAUGGCCGUCGUCAGCU